Molecule: long non-coding RNA, 1028 nt
Filed under: Salvia miltiorrhiza (redroot sage)
Lineage: Eukaryota; Viridiplantae; Streptophyta; Magnoliopsida; Lamiales; Lamiaceae
Description: long non-coding RNA (SMIL_LNC004606)
Source: RNAcentral
GCCAUUUCAUUUCAUUCGGCCACGUUUCGUCUCAAAACAUUCUUGAGCCACAAGUAUCAUCUCAAAUUUUCUUAUUUAAAACAUCAUCCUUUAUCAUCUCAGUUAUCAUGCCAAAAACGCAGCAAUCUUUAAGAUCAUUUGUGCUCUUUUCUCUGUAAAGGUAAUUUUAUUAUUUCUGCAAAUUUUCAUUUUCCUACAGUUCACUUCUAUAUCUGCACAAAAUACAAUUUUUAAUAAUUUUAAACUCUCACAAUUCAUUUUACUCUCAAAUUCUAAAAUCCCCAACUAUCUUCAAAUUCAAAAGUCAAACAGAAGAUUCAAAAGCCUUUCCGUAAAAUUUGUAUUUCCACAGCAGCUAAAUUUUGAAGCAGCAAACUUUGAUUGAUCUCUUUCACACGUUUAUGUUCAAACAAGUAAUUCAAUCUAUUUAAACCUCAUUGUAUUAUUCUCAUUCCAUCAGUUUCAAAUCAUAAACCAUCAACAGAUUUCUCCAUUUGCUCUUUUCACAAAAUAAUUCAAUCUGCCAUUUCUCACUGCACAUCAUCAAUCGGUAAUUCUCAUAAACUUGUAUAGUUUUAUUUUCAUAUGCAAAGAUCUCUGCUUUCUUUCAAUUUACAGAAAACAACCAAACUCCCACAAAAUUCUUAUUUUUAUAAAUCCAAACAUGCAUACACACAUCAUUAGAUCUAGUGUUUGUAAUUCAUAAGAAAUCGAAAAGGAAUACAUAUUCAUUGAUUUUACAGAAAACAAAUUUAGAUUUAGAAACCUAUAUUGAUAAAGGGAGUUGGGAUGAAGUGGGAUGAGGAGCUACCCGCCGGAGCAGGGGGCGGCGUCAGAUGGUUGUCUGGCCGGAUCCGACGGAGGUGGAGACAGGGGCAGCGGCGCUAGGUCUCGGCGUUCUGGUCGGACAGAGGAAGGAGGCGGCUGGGCGGCGCCGCUGUCGACGCAGGGGCGGCGAUGGUGGUGCUGCUGUUGGCCAGGAGAGAAAUAGACGGUGAAGGCGACGCCGGGCAGGAGACGGUGGCGGC